RNAcentral lists this transfer RNA (84 nucleotides) under Planctomycetota bacterium. Its description in RNAcentral is "Planctomycetes bacterium tRNA-Leu". It matches the Rfam family "tRNA". From Rfam's summary of the family: Transfer RNA (tRNA) molecules are approximately 80 nucleotides in length. Their secondary structure includes four short double-helical elements and three loops (D, anti-codon, and T loops). The record is from RNAcentral. Lineage: Bacteria; Pseudomonadati; Planctomycetota.
GCACAAGUGGCGGAAUUGGUAGACGCGUUAGCUUGAGGGGCUAAUGGGAUUCGUCCUGUGGAGGUUCAAGUCCUCUCUUGUGUA